This 433-nucleotide ribosomal RNA is filed under the name uncultured bacterium. RNAcentral's name for it is "partial 16S ribosomal RNA". It matches the Rfam family "Bacterial small subunit ribosomal RNA", at positions 29 to 507 of the family's 1533-position model. The record is from RNAcentral.
AACGAACGCUGGCGGCAUGCCUAACACAUGCAAGUCGAACGAGACCUUCGGGUCUAGUGGCGCACGGGUGCGUAACGCGUGGGAACCUGCCCUUAGGUUCGGAAUAACUCCCCGAAAGGGGUGCUAAUACCGGAUAAUGUCUUCGGACCAAAGAUUUAUCGCCUUUGGAUGGGCCCGCGUUGGAUUAGCUAGUUGGUAGGGUAAAAGCCUACCAAGGCGACGAUCCAUAGCUGGUCUGAGAGGAUGAUCAGCCACACUGGGACUGAGACGCGGCCCAGACUCCUACGGGAGGCAGCAGUGGGGAAUAUUGGACAAUGGGCGAAAGCCUGAUCCAGCAAUGCCGCGUGAGUGAUGAAGGCAUUAGGGUUGUAAAGCUCUUUUACCCGGGGUGAUAAUGACAGUACCGGGAGAAUAAGCUCCGGCUAACUCCGUG